Molecule: ribosomal RNA, 382 nt
Filed under: uncultured eukaryote
Lineage: Eukaryota
Description: SSU rRNA
Rfam family: Eukaryotic small subunit ribosomal RNA
Source: RNAcentral
AGCUCCAAUAGCGUAUAUUAAUGUUGUUGUGGUUAAAAAGCUCGUAGUUGGAUUUCGGCGGAUAUUGGCCGGUUUGAAUUGUUUCAAUACUGGUUAUAUUGUCCGUGUAUAUUGCCAGAAUUCAACGGGUGAACUUCGCCGUUUGUCCGUUUGGAGCUGGCAGGUUUACUUUGAAAAAAUUAGAGUGCUCAAAGCAAGCUUUUAUGCUUGAAUAUUCGUGCAUGGAAUAAUAGAAUAGGAAGUCGUUUCUAUUUUGUUGGUUUUCAGAAUCGACUUAAUGAUUAAUAGGGAUAGUCGGGGGCAUUUGUAUUCAAACGACAGAGGUGAAAUUCUUGGACCGUUUGAAGACAAACUACUGCGAAAGCAUUUGCCAAGAAUGUUU